GCCCUCUUAGCUCAGGGGUAGAGCGUGUCACUCGUAAUGACAAGGUCAUCAGUUCAAUUCUGAUAGUGGGCA
RNAcentral lists this transfer RNA (72 nucleotides) under Schizothecium vesticola. It matches the Rfam family "tRNA". From Rfam's summary of the family: Transfer RNA (tRNA) molecules are approximately 80 nucleotides in length. Their secondary structure includes four short double-helical elements and three loops (D, anti-codon, and T loops). Further hydrogen bonds mediate the characteristic L-shaped molecular structure. tRNAs have two regions of fundamental functional importance: the anti-codon, which is responsible for specific mRNA codon recognition, and the 3' end, to which the tRNAs corresponding amino acid is attached (by aminoacyl-tRNA synthetases). tRNAs cope with the degeneracy of the genetic code in two manners: having more than one tRNA (with a specific anti-codon) for a particular amino acid; and 'wobble' base-pairing, i.e. permitting non-standard base-pairing at the 3rd anti-codon position. The record is from Rfam by way of RNAcentral. Lineage: Eukaryota; Fungi; Ascomycota; Sordariomycetes; Sordariales; Schizotheciaceae.